This 920-nucleotide ribosomal RNA is filed under the name uncultured bacterium. Its description in RNAcentral is "bacterial SSU rRNA". It matches the Rfam family "Bacterial small subunit ribosomal RNA", at positions 33 to 944 of the family's 1533-position model. The record is from RNAcentral.
ACGCUAGCUACAGGCUUAACACAUGCAAGUCGAGGGGAAACGGCAUUAAGUGCUUGCACUUUUUGGAUGUCGACCGGCGCACGGGUGAGUAACGCGUAUCCAACCUUCCCAUGACUAAGGGAUAACCUGCCGAAAGGCAGACUAAUACCUUAUGGUCUUCACUGACGGCAUCAGAUGUGAAGUAAAGAUUUAUCGGUUAUGGAUGGGGAUGCGUCUGAUUAGUUAGUUGGCGGGGUAACGGCCCACCAAGGCAACGAUCAGUAGGGGUUCUGAGAGGAAGGUCCCCCACAUUGGAACUGAGACACGGUCCAAACUCCUACGGGAGGCAGCAGUGAGGAAUAUUGGUCAAUGGGCGAGAGCCUGAACCAGCCAAGUAGCGUGCAGGAUGACGGCCCUAUGGGUUGUAAACUGCUUUUGUAUGGGGAUAAAGUCAAUCACGUGUGAUUGUUUGCAGGUACCAUACGAAUAAGGACCGGCUAAUUCCGUGCCAGCAGCCGCGGUAAUACGGAUGGUCCGGGCGUUAUCCGGAUUUAUUGGGUUUAAAGGGAGCGUAGGCUGGAGAUUAAGUGUGUUGUGAAAUGUAGACGCUCAACGUCUGACUUGCAGCGCAUACUGGUUUCCUUGAGUACGCACAACGUUGGCGGAAUUCGUCGUGUAGCGGUGAAAUGCUUAGAUAUGACGAAGAACUCCGAUUGCGAAGGCAGCUGACGGGAGCGCAACUGACGCUGAAGCUCGAAGGUGCGGGUAUCGAACAGGAUUAGAUACCCUGGUAGUCCGCACAGUAAACGAUGGAUGUCCGCUGUUGGUACGUGGUAUCAGCGGCUAAGCGAAAGCAUUAAGCAUCCCACCUGGGGAGUACGCCGGCAACGGUGAAACUCAAAGGAAUUGACGGGGGCCCGCACAAGCGGAGGAACAUGUGG